This 960-nucleotide long non-coding RNA is filed under the name Vitis vinifera (wine grape). RNAcentral describes it as "long non-coding RNA (VVIN_LNC007612)". Lineage: Eukaryota; Viridiplantae; Streptophyta; Magnoliopsida; Vitales; Vitaceae. The record is from RNAcentral.
CAAAACAACAAAGUAUCCACAAAAUUUAAUAGGAAAAAAACUUAAAUAUGAAUAUUUUUCUUUGAAGAAAUAAUAUAACCAAAAAAAAUUGAUGUUAUAAAUAAAUUUAAAAAAAUAGAGCUCAAAAUACCUAUCUUUCAUAUGGCAACUCCUUUGUCUAUCAUGUGUUGGAACAAGUGACUAUAAUUAUCUCUUCUUUUUCUUUCGUUUGUUCAAGGAAUUUAAGAAUGGUACAAGUUCUCUUUUCUUUUAUUUCUAUUCCCAGGUAUUGGACUUAAGGAAUUGUAGAGAAAGGCAUGUAAUCUCCUUCAAUUUGAGCAGAUCUCUUAUCUAAAAAUUAAAAUACCCCAAGUAUGAUGCUUCCAAAUGUUGUAACUUUAUAGAUAAGUCAAAUUCUCAAGAAGACACAUUCCCAAAGGAGUCAAUAUGAGACCAACUUGAGACCAGAGCUCUAGGUUGUGCCAUAACACUGAACUCAGGUGUCCGAAUAGACGACUGAUGGAGUAAUUGCAAAAAAGGAUGAAUUGCACAAAACUGAAACAUCAAGAGCCCAUGUCCUUCUCCAACCAAGGCUAAAGCUUAAACAAGAACUCCAUCACCACGUGCUUUAGAAUAAGAGCAAAAUUGUGUAAAGUUGAAGUUACAAAACAUAAAUCCCCUCAAGAUCAAUCGUUGGAAGUUAUUAGCCUAUCAUAAAAAAGAUCGGUUGGAAGUGAUCAAUUAUCUUAAAGUCAGGGAUGAUGGAAAUCAAUUGGAAGUUAGAAACACCAAAAUCAGCAUACAGCAUAUACUUUUAGUUUUGGUGGAGGACAGAGACAAACUUGAUUUUAGCUAUAGCUUCGAAUAUCAAAGAAGACUCGCAUACCACAUCAAUAAUAAGCCAACAAAGCCAGAACCAGAUAAGCAUCCCCCUGAGUUUAUAUUUUAUUUUUAGUAAAUGCAUCAACCAUCAAUAGUUCC